UUACUAGAGUAGCACUCGCAUAUCAAUAAGCGGAGGAAAAGAAACUAACAAGGAUUCCCCUAGUAACGGCGAGUGAAGCGGGAAGAGCUCAAAUUUGAAAUCUUAAAGGGUUUCCCUUUACGAAUUGUAGUUUAAAGAAAUGUUUUCUGUUGAGGUUUUGGUAAAAGUUCUCUGGAAUAGGACAUCAUAGAGGGUGAGAAUCCCGUAUUUGGACCUUUACUUUCAACUUUGUGAUACACUUUCAAAGAGUCGGAUUGUUUGGGAAUGCAGUCCAAAAUGGGUGGUAAAUUUCAUCUAAAGCUAAAUAUUGGCGAGAGACCGAUAGCGAACAAGUACCGUGAGGGAAAGAUGAAAAGAACUUUGAAAAGAGAGUUAAACAGUACGUGAAAUUGUCAAAAGGGAAGCGUUUGACACCAGUGUUGUUUUUCUGAAAAUCAAUUAAAGAACUGUUUAUGCUAAGUUGUUUAGACUUUAUCAGCUAACUGUUUAGUUUUGAGCUUUUCUUUAAUGCACUUUUCAGUUAACAAGUCAACAUCAAUUUCUUUUGCUGUAAAAAAGCUUGAGGAAGGUGGCUUGAGAUUCGUCUUAAGUGUUUAUAGCCUCUUGCCUAUGCAGUCGGAGAGAUUGAGGUCUGCAGCGUAGAUCCUUCGGGGCUAAAUGCAUUUGUGCUAAGUUAUAACAUUUUAUAGACAACUUGUUGACUAUGAUUUGUCUUGUAGCUUACUCGCUUAUGUUAUUUUACCUACGCUUAGGAUGUUGAUAUCGCGCUCUCACUG
This 776-nucleotide ribosomal RNA is filed under the name uncultured Neocallimastigales. RNAcentral's name for it is "partial large subunit ribosomal RNA". It matches the Rfam family "Eukaryotic large subunit ribosomal RNA", at positions 1 to 643 of the family's 3401-position model. The record is from RNAcentral. Lineage: Eukaryota; Fungi; Neocallimastigomycota; Neocallimastigomycetes; Neocallimastigales.